RNAcentral lists this transfer RNA (74 nucleotides) under Alphaproteobacteria bacterium. RNAcentral describes it as "tRNA-Gly". It matches the Rfam family "tRNA". From Rfam's summary of the family: Transfer RNA (tRNA) molecules are approximately 80 nucleotides in length. Their secondary structure includes four short double-helical elements and three loops (D, anti-codon, and T loops). Lineage: Bacteria; Pseudomonadati; Pseudomonadota; Alphaproteobacteria. The record is from RNAcentral. RNAcentral also lists the same sequence under 2 other names.
GCGGGUAUAGUUCAACGGUAGAACGUCAGCCUUCCAAGCUGAACACGGGGGUUCGAUUCCCCCUACCCGCUCCA